Molecule: non-coding RNA, 228 nt
Organism: Pelobates cultripes (western spadefoot toad)
Lineage: Eukaryota; Metazoa; Chordata; Amphibia; Anura; Pelobatidae
Source: the annotation of a GenBank genome assembly
UCUGUUUGGUACUUUUCAUUUGAUCUGUGAAUAAAAUCUAAAUUUCUGGCUCAACAAAUGACCAUAUGUGUCCAUCGUGCCAGUAAUUUGCCCGGCUACGCAUCCAUUCGCAUCCAUUCAGCUCUUUAGAGAUGCAGAAUUCGGUUGAACUGCCGAUCGACCUGUGUUCAGACGAAUUGCAAUUCCUUUGAAACUGAAUGUACAAGUAUACUGGAGUGUCCUUAUGAG